AUAUUUAUCUGGCAGGGGAGAUACCAUGAUCAUAAACGUGGUUUUCCCAGGGUGAGGCUUAUCCAUUGCACUCUGGAUAUGCUGAUGGCAAUUUCCCUAAAUGUGAGAAACUCGACAGCAUAAUUUGUGGUAGUGGGGAACUGUUUUCAUGCUCUCCUCU
Small nuclear RNA from Nannospalax galili (Upper Galilee mountains blind mole rat), 160 nucleotides. Its record names the gene U1. It matches the Rfam family "U1 spliceosomal RNA". Rfam says of the family: U1 is a small nuclear RNA (snRNA) component of the spliceosome (involved in pre-mRNA splicing). The record is from Ensembl. Lineage: Eukaryota; Metazoa; Chordata; Mammalia; Rodentia; Spalacidae.